This is a non-coding RNA of Oryctolagus cuniculus (rabbit), 196 nucleotides long. The record is from RefSeq and is a predicted model, not a curated record. NCBI's taxonomy places the organism in Eukaryota, Metazoa, Chordata, Mammalia, Lagomorpha, Leporidae.
GGGGCCUUCAAGCUUGCUUCCCGGGAGAAGAAUCCGCAGAGAGCACAGAUGAGGCUGCGGAAACAACAGAAGGGAGUCGUCCCCUUUCUUGGCACCUACCUGACAGACCUGGUGAUGCUGCACACUGCGAUGGGGGACUCUGUGCAUCAGGCUGACAUCAGCUUCCAGAAACUGAAUAAGGAAAUUACAGUCCUGC